RNAcentral lists this ribosomal RNA (784 nucleotides) under uncultured bacterium. RNAcentral's name for it is "SSU rRNA". It matches the Rfam family "Bacterial small subunit ribosomal RNA", at positions 70 to 853 of the family's 1533-position model. The record is from RNAcentral.
CACAGUGUAGCAAUACAUGGGUGGCGACCGGCAAACGGGUGCGGAACACGUACGCAACCUUCCUUCAGGCGGGGAAUAGCCCAGAGAAAUUUGGAUUAAUACCUCAUAAUAUUUUGAGAUGGCAUCAUCUUAUUAUUAAAGCUACGGCACCUGGAGAUGGGCGUGCGGCUGAUUAGGUAGUUGGCGGGGUAAUGGCCCACCAAGCCUACGAUCAGUAGCUGAUGUGAGAGCAUGAUCAGCCACACGGGCACUGAGACACGGGCCCGACUCCUACGGGAGGCAGCAGUAAGGAAUAUUGGUCAAUGGACGCAAGUCUGAACCAGCCAUGCCGCGUGGAGGAUGAAGGUCCUCUGGAUUGUAAACUUCUUUUAUCUGGGACGAAAAAAGGGUUUUCUAACUCGUCUGACGGUACCAGAUGAAUAAGCACCGGCUAACUCCGUGCCAGCAGCCGCGGUAAUACGGAGGGUGCAAGCGUUAUCCGGAUUCACUGGGUUUAAAGGGUGCGUAGGCGGGCAUUUAAGUCAGUGGUGAAAUACCUGAGCUUAACUUGGGAACUGCCAUUGAUACUAUUUGUCUUGAAUGUCGUGGAGGUUAGCGGAAUAUGUCAUGUAGCGGUGAAAUGCUUAGAUAUGACAUAGAACACCUAUUGCGAAGGCAGCUAACUACGCGAAUAUUGACGCUGAGGUACGAAAGCGUGGGGAUCAAACAGGAUUAGAUACCCUGGUAGUCCACGCCCUAAACGAUGAUUACUCGACAUUAGCGAUACACUGUUAGUGUCUGAGCG